Long non-coding RNA from Teleopsis dalmanni, 1003 nucleotides. RefSeq lists it as uncharacterized. The record is from RefSeq and is a predicted model, not a curated record. NCBI's taxonomy places the organism in Eukaryota, Metazoa, Arthropoda, Insecta, Diptera, Diopsidae. The transcript has 5 exons.
UUUCAUUUUUGAAUAACAUUUUUCUUGAGGUGUAACAUUUAAAUCCAAUAUCAUAGUUGGUUGCAACUCUGCCGAUAUAUUGGGACUUAAAUUCUAAAAGCACGAGUUCAUUUCGUCGUGCAGAAGGUUUUUUAUAUUUCUAGUGUUUUUCUUGUGCUACUAAGAAUAUAUAAUGGCUAAAGGAUUUUGCCUGAAGAAAAAGAAAUUCCAGCAAAAGCGAAAAAUUAAGCUGGAUAAGUAUUUUAACUGUGCGAUAUGUAAUGGGCAAAAAUCAGUGUCCAUCGAUAUGCGCAAACAGUUGAACAGGGCUAUAUUAAGUUGCCACAUUUGUAACGUCACCCAUCAGGUAAAAAUUAAUUACUUGAGCGAGCCCAUAGACGUUUACUGCGAAUGGUGCGAUGGGCUCCAAUCAAAUUCAGAUUCAUAACUUACACUCAAGCCAUAAGUACUGAGGAAAAUCAUUGUCACCUGAUUUUUUCCAACUAAACUGAGUAAUGGAAGGUGUUUAUGGCUUUAUAAUAUAAUAAACAAAAAAAAAAAUACUCAAAUGUUACCUUCUAGGAACAUAAGAAUAUGCAAAAAAAUUAAAAAAAAAACAAAAAAAAAUAUGUACAACAUCAUACAACAAUAUAUUGAAUAGAAGCAGUAAAUGAAUAAAUUUAUUUCCAAUAAGGAUACUAUUACACAGACGUUCGUUUUUGGUACUUCAAACGGCUGACUACAACAGACAAUAUUAAAGAGUUUAUAUAUAUAUGGACAACUCUCUACCUAUUAUAGACAACAUUACGAAUACAUGGAAUAAUCUGAUGUCGCCGGUUAUAAACUCUUUUACUUGCAAAAUUUUUCUGUCAUAGUACCAAGGAAGUGAAUCUAUCUAUAAUAUUUCUUCAUUAACUAUGUAUAUAGUUUCAGUGCUUGCUUUAUUUCAAUCGAAUUAUUUUUUACCAUCAUAUCUGACAUUAAGAUUUUUAUAACAUUUUUAAAAACCAUUUUUAAACUACAA